This 233-nucleotide ribosomal RNA is filed under the name uncultured Methylosarcina sp. RNAcentral describes it as "partial 16S ribosomal RNA". It matches the Rfam family "Bacterial small subunit ribosomal RNA", at positions 355 to 581 of the family's 1533-position model. The record is from RNAcentral. Lineage: Bacteria; Pseudomonadati; Pseudomonadota; Gammaproteobacteria; Methylococcales; Methylococcaceae.
UGGGGAAUAUUGGACAAUGGGCGAAAGCCUGAUCCAGCAAUACCGCGUGUGUGAAGAAGGCCUGAGGGUUGUAAAGCACUUUUAAUCGGGAGGAACAUCUGGUGGCCAAUACCCAUCAGUCUGACAUUACCGAUAGAAAAAGCACCGGCUAACUCUGUGCCAGCAGCCGCGGUAAUACAGAGGGUGCAAGCGUUAAUCGGAAUUACUGGGCGUAAAGGGCGUGUAGGCGGAUG